AUACGUAGGGGGCGAGCGUUGUCCGGAAUGAUUGGGCGUAAAGGGCGCGUAGGCGGCCCGGUAAGUCUGGAGUGAAAGUCCUGCUUUUAAGGUGGGAAUUGCUUUGGAUACUGUCGGGCUUGAGUGCAGGAGAGGUAAGUGGAAUUCCCAGUGUAGCGGUGAAAUGCGUAGAGAUUGGGAGGAACACAAGUGGCGAAGGCGACUUACUGGAUUGUAACUGACGCUGAGGCGCGAAAGUGUGGGGAGCAAACAGGAUUAGAUACCCUGGUAGUCCACACUGUAAACGAUGAAUGCUAGGUGUAGGGGGUAUCGACCCCUUCUGUGCCGCAGUUAACACAAUAAGCAUUCCGCCUGGGGAGUACGGCCGCAAGGUUGAAACGCAAAGGAAUUGACGGGG
This 397-nucleotide ribosomal RNA is filed under the name uncultured bacterium. RNAcentral's name for it is "partial 16S ribosomal RNA". It matches the Rfam family "Bacterial small subunit ribosomal RNA", at positions 523 to 918 of the family's 1533-position model. The record is from RNAcentral.